This 250-nucleotide ribosomal RNA is filed under the name uncultured bacterium. Its description in RNAcentral is "partial 16S ribosomal RNA". It matches the Rfam family "Bacterial small subunit ribosomal RNA", at positions 355 to 622 of the family's 1533-position model. The record is from RNAcentral.
GGAUGAAUAUUGGACAAUGGGGGAAACCCUGAUCCAGCCAUGCCGCGUGUGUGAAGAAGGCCUUAGGGUUGUAAAGCACUUUCAGCCGUGAAGAUAAUGACAGUAGCGGAAGAAGAAGCUCCGGCUAAAUUCGUGCCAGCAGCCGCGGUAAUACGAAUGGAGCGAGCGUUGUUCGGAAUCACUGGGCGUAAAGGGUGCGCAGGCGGUCAUGAAAGUCAGAAGUGAAAUCCCAGGGCUCAACCCUGGAAUG